This 586-nucleotide ribosomal RNA is filed under the name uncultured bacterium. RNAcentral's name for it is "bacterial SSU rRNA". It matches the Rfam family "Bacterial small subunit ribosomal RNA", at positions 338 to 916 of the family's 1533-position model. The record is from RNAcentral.
CCUACGGGAGGCAGCAGUGGGGAAUUUUGGACAAUGGGGGCAACCCUGAUCCAGCCAUUCCGCGUGAGUGAAGAAGGCCUUCGGGUUGUAAAGCUCUUUCGCAAGGGAAGAAAACUUAUGAUCGAAUAAAUCAUGAGGUUGACGGUACCUUGAUAAGAAGCACCGGCUAACUACGUGCCAGCAGCCGCGGUAAUACGUAGGGUGCGAGCGUUAAUCGGAAUUACUGGGCGUAAAGCGUGCGCAGGCGGUUUUGUAAGUCGGAUGUGAAAUCCCCGGGCUCAACCUGGGAACUGCGUUCGAAACUGCAAGGCUAGAGUGUGUCAGAGGGGGGUAGAAUUCCACGUGUAGCAGUGAAAUGCGUAGAGAUGUGGAGGAAUACCAAUGGCGAAGGCAGCCCCCUGGGAUAACACUGACGCUCAUGCACGAAAGCGUGGGGAGCAAACAGGAUUAGAUACCCUGGUAGUCCACGCCCUAAACGAUGUCAACUAGUUGUUGGUAGAGUAAAAUCUAUGAGUAACGUAGCUAACGCGUGAAGUUGACCGCCUGGGGAGUACGGUCGCAAGAUUAAAACUUAAGGAAUUGACGG